Molecule: ribosomal RNA, 218 nt
Filed under: Yersinia enterocolitica
Lineage: Bacteria; Pseudomonadati; Pseudomonadota; Gammaproteobacteria; Enterobacterales; Yersiniaceae
Description: partial 16S ribosomal RNA
Rfam family: Bacterial small subunit ribosomal RNA
Source: RNAcentral
AAAUUGAAGAGUUUGAUCAUGGCUCAGAUUGAACGCUGGCGGCAGGCCUAACACAUGCAAGUCGAGCGGCAGCGGGAAGUAGUUUACUACUUUGCCGGCGAGCGGCGGACGGGUGAGUAAUGUCUGGGAAACUGCCUGAUGGAGGGGGAUAACUACUGGAAACGGUAGCUAAUACCGCAUAACGUCUUCGGACCAAAGUGGGGGACCUUCGGGCCUCA